CGAGCGAACAGACGAGGAGCUUGCUCCUCUGACGUUAGCGGCGGACGGGUGAGUAACACGUGGAUAACCUACCUAUAAGACUGGGAUAACUUCGGGAAACCGGAGCUAAUACCGGAUAAUAUAUUGAACCGCAUGGUUCAAUAGUGAAAGACGGUUUUGCUGUCACUUAUAGAUGGAUCCGCGCCGCAUUAGCUAGUUGGUAAGGUAACGGCUUACCAAGGCAACGAUGCGUAGCCGACCUGAGAGGGUGAUCGGCCACACUGGAACUGAGACACGGUCCAGACUCCUACGGGAGGCAGCAGUAGGGAAUCUUCCGCAAUGGGCGAAAGCCUGACGGAGCAACGCCGCGUGAGUGAUGAAGGUCUUCGGAUCGUAAAACUCUGUUAUUAGGGAAGAACAAAUGUGUAAGUAACUAUGCACGUCUUGACGGUACCUAAUCAGAAAGCCACGGCUAACUACGUGCCAGCAGCCGCGGUAAUACGUAGGUGGCAAGCGUUAUCCGGAAUUAUUGGGCGUAAAGCGCGCGUAGGCGGUUUUUUAAGUCUGAUGUGAAAGCCCACGGCUCAACCGUGGAGGGUCAUUGGAAACUGGAAAACUUGAGUGCAGAAGAGGAAAGUGGAAUUCCAUGUGUAGCGGUGAAAUGCGCAGAGAUAUGGAGGAACACCAGUGGCGAAGGCGACUUUCUGGUCUGUAACUGACGCUGAUGUGCGAAAGCGUGGGGAUCAAACAGGAUUAGAUACCCUGGUAGUCCACGCCGUAACGAUGAGUGCUAAGUGUUAGGGGGUUUCCGCCCCUUAGUGCUGCAGCUAACGCAUUAAGCACUCCGCCUGGGGAGUACGACCGCAAGGUUGAAACUCAAAGGAAUUGACGGGACCCGCACAAGCGGUGGAGCAUGUGGUUUAAUUCGAAGCAACGCGAAGAACCUUACCAAAUCUUGACAUCCUCUGACCCCUCUAGAGAUAGAGUUUUCCCCUUCGGGGGACAGAGUGACAGGUGGUGCAUGGUUGUCGUCAGCUCGUGUCGUGAGAUGUUGGGUUAAGUCCCGCAACGAGCGCAACCCUUAAGCUUAGUUGCCAUCAUUAAGUUGGGCACUCUAAGUUGACUG
This 1105-nucleotide ribosomal RNA is filed under the name Staphylococcus sp. RNAcentral's name for it is "bacterial SSU rRNA". It matches the Rfam family "Bacterial small subunit ribosomal RNA", at positions 63 to 1151 of the family's 1533-position model. Lineage: Bacteria; Bacillati; Bacillota; Bacilli; Caryophanales; Staphylococcaceae. The record is from RNAcentral.